RNAcentral lists this ribosomal RNA (472 nucleotides) under uncultured bacterium. Its description in RNAcentral is "bacterial SSU rRNA". It matches the Rfam family "Bacterial small subunit ribosomal RNA", at positions 355 to 825 of the family's 1533-position model. The record is from RNAcentral.
UGGGGAAUAUUGCGCAAUGGGCGAAAGCCUGACGCAGCAACGCCGCGUGAGUGAUGAAGGCCUUCGGGUUGUAAAGCUCUUUUGUCAGGGAAGAAACGGUAGUAGCGAAUAACUACUACUAAUGACGGUACCUGAAGAAUAAGCACCGGCUAACUACGUGCCAGCAGCCGCGGUAAUACGUAGGGUGCAAGCGUUAAUCGGAAUUACUGGGCGUAAAGCGUGCGCAGGCGGUUGUGUAAGUCAGAUGUGAAAUCCCCGGGCUCAACCUGGGAAUUGCAUUUGAGACUGCACGGCUAGAGUGUGUCAGAGGGGGGUAGAAUUCCACGUGUAGCAGUGAAAUGCGUAGAUAUCGGGAGGAACACCGAUGGCGAAAGCGGNUACCUGGGCCAGAUCUGACGCUGAGGCGCGAAAGCUAGGGGAGCAAACAGGAUUAGAUACCCUAGUAGUCCCUGAGCGGGCUGGCAAGGCGCAU